UUAAGCGACUAAGCGUACACGGUGGAUGCCCUGGCAGUCAGAGGCGAUGAAGGACGUGCUAAUCUGCGAUAAGCGUCGGUGAGGUGAUAUGAACCGUUAUAACCGGCGAUUUCCGAAUGGGGAAACCCAGUGUGUUUCGACACACUAUCAUUAACUGAAUCCAUAGGUUAAUGAGGCGAACCGGGGGAACUGAAACAUCUAAGUACCCCGAGGAAAAGAAAUCAACCGAGAUUCCCCCAGUAGCGGCGAGCGAACGGGGAGGAGCCCAGAGCCUGAAUCAGUGUGUGUGUUAGUGGAAGCGUCUGGAAAGGCGCGCGAUACAGGGUGACAGCCCCGUACACAAAAAUGCACAUGCUGUGAGCUCGAUGAGUAGGGCGGGACACGUGGUAUCCUGUCUGAAUAUGGGGGGACCAUCCUCCAAGGCUAAAUACUCCUGACUGACCGAUAGUGAACCAGUACCGUGAGGGAAAGGCGAAAAGAACCCCGGCGAGGGGAGUGAAAAAGAACCUGAAACCGUGUACGUACAAGCAGUGGGAGCCUCUUUAUGGGGUGACUGCGUACCUUUUGUAUAAUGGGUCAGCGACUUAUAUUCUGUAGCAAGGUUAACCGAAUAGGGGAGCCGAAGGGAAACCGAGUCUUAACUGGGCGUUAAGUUGCAGGGUAUAGACCCGAAACCCGGUGAUCUAGCCAUGGGCAGGUUGAAGGUUGGGUAACACUAACUGGAGGACCGAACCGACUAAUGUUGAAAAAUUAGCGGAUGACUUGUGGCUGGGGGUGAAAGGCCAAUCAAACCGGGAGAUAGCUGGUUCUCCCCGAAAGCUAUUUAGGUAGCGCCUCGUGAAUUCAUCUCCGGGGGUAGAGCACUGUUUCGGCAAGGGGGUCAUCCCGACUUACCAACCCGAUGCAAACUGCGAAUACCGGAGAAUGUUAUCACGGGAGACACACGGCGGGUGCUAACGUCCGUCGUGAAGAGGGAAACAACCCAGACCGCCAGCUAAGGUCCCAAAGUCAUGGUUAAGUGGGAAACGAUGUGGGAAGGCCCAGACAGCCAGGAUGUUGGCUUAGAAGCAGCCAUCAUUUAAAGAAAGCGUAAUAGCUCACUGGUCGAGUCGGCCUGCGCGGAAGAUGUAACGGGGCUAAACCAUGCACCGAAGCUGCGGCAGCGACACUAUGUGUUGUUGGGUAGGGGAGCGUUCUGUAAGCCUGUGAAGGUGGCCUGUGAGGGUUGCUGGAGGUAUCAGAAGUGCGAAUGCUGACAUAAGUAACGAUAAAGCGGGUGAAAAGCCCGCUCGCCGGAAGACCAAGGGUUCCUGUCCAACGUUAAUCGGGGCAGGGUGAGUCGACCCCUAAGGCGAGGCCGAAAGGCGUAGUCGAUGGGAAACAGGUUAAUAUUCCUGUACUUGGUGUUACUGCGAAGGGGGGACGGAGAAGGCUAUGUUGGCCGGGCGACGGUUGUCCCGGUUUAAGCGUGUAGGCUGGUUUUCCAGGCAAAUCCGGAAAACCAAGGCUGAGGCGUGAUGACGAGGCACUACGGUGCUGAAGCGACAAAUGCCCUGCUUCCAGGAAAAGCCUCUAAGCAUCAGGUAACAUCAAAUCGUACCCCAAACCGACACAGGUGGUCAGGUAGAGAAUACCAAGGCGCUUGAGAGAACUCGGGUGAAGGAACUAGGCAAAAUGGUGCCGUAACUUCGGGAGAAGGCACGCUGAUAUGUAGGUGAAGCGACUUGCUCGUGGAGCUGAAAUCAGUCGAAGAUACCAGCUGGCUGCAACUGUUUAUUAAAAACACAGCACUGUGCAAACACGAAAGUGGACGUAUACGGUGUGACGCCUGCCCGGUGCCGGAAGGUUAAUUGAUGGGGUUAGCGGUAACGCGAAGCUCUUGAUCGAAGCCCCGGUAAACGGCGGCCGUAACUAUAACGGUCCUAAGGUAGCGAAAUUCCUUGUCGGGUAAGUUCCGACCUGCACGAAUGGCGUAAUGAUGGCCAGGCUGUCUCCACCCGAGACUCAGUGAAAUUGAACUCGCUGUGAAGAUGCAGUGUACCCGCGGCAAGACGGAAAGACCCCGUGAACCUUUACUAUAGCUUGACACUGAACAUUGAGCCUUGAUGUGUAGGAUAGGUGGGAGGCUUUGAAGUGUGGACGCCAGUCUGCAUGGAGCCGACCUUGAAAUACCACCCUUUAAUGUUUGAUGUUCUAACGUUGGCCCGUAAUCCGGGUUGCGGACAGUGUCUGGUGGGUAGUUUGACUGGGGCGGUCUCCUCCUAAAGAGUAACGGAGGAGCACGAGGGUUGGCUAAUCCUGGUCGGACAUCAGGAGGUUAGUGCAAUGGCAUAAGCCAGCUUGACUGCGAGCGUGACGGCGCGAGCAGGUGCGAAAGCAGGUCAUAGUGAUCCGGUGGUUCUGAAUGGAAGGGCCAUCGCUCAACGGAUAAAAGGUACUCCGGGGAUAACAGGCUGAUACCGCCCAAGAGUUCAUAUCGACGGCGGUGUUUGGCACCUCGAUGUCGGCUCAUCACAUCCUGGGGCUGAAGUAGGUCCCAAGGGUAUGGCUGUUCGCCAUUUAAAGUGGUACGCGAGCUGGGUUUAGAACGUCGUGAGACAGUUCGGUCCCUAUCUGCCGUGGGCGCUGGAGAACUGAGGGGGGCUGCUCCUAGUACGAGAGGACCGGAGUGGACGCAUCACUGGUGUUCGGGUUGUCAUGCCAAUGGCACUGCCCGGUAGCUAAAUGCGGAAGAGAUAAGUGCUGAAAGCAUCUAAGCACGAAACUUGCCCCGAGAUGAGUUCUCCCUGAGACUUAGAGUCUCCUGAAGGAACGUUGAAGACGACGACGUUGAUAGGCCGGGUGUGUAAGCGCAGCGAUGCGUUGAGCUAACCGGUACUAAUGAACCGUGAGGCUUAACCUU
Molecule: ribosomal RNA, 2902 nt
Filed under: Escherichia coli HVH 127 (4-7303629)
Lineage: Bacteria; Pseudomonadati; Pseudomonadota; Gammaproteobacteria; Enterobacterales; Enterobacteriaceae
Description: bacterial LSU rRNA
Rfam family: Bacterial large subunit ribosomal RNA
Source: RNAcentral